Molecule: ribosomal RNA, 497 nt
Filed under: uncultured bacterium
Lineage: Bacteria
Description: partial 16S ribosomal RNA
Rfam family: Bacterial small subunit ribosomal RNA
Source: RNAcentral
GAUGAACGCUGGCGGCGUGCCUAAUACAUGCAAGUCGAGCGAACGGACGAGAAGCUUGCUUCUCUGAUGUUAGCGGCGGACGGGUGAGUAACACGUGGAUAACCUACCUAUAAGACUGGGAUAACUUCGGGAAACCGGAGCUAAUACCGGAUAAUAUUUUGAACCGCAUGGUUCAAAAGUGAAAGACGGUCUUGCUGUCACUUAUAGAUGGAUCCGCGCUGCAUUAGCUAGUUGGUAAGGUAACGGCUUAUCAAGGCAACGAUGCAUAGACGACCUGAGAGGGUGAUCGGCCACACUGGAACUGAGACACGGUCCAGACUCCUGCGGGAGGCAGCAGUAGGGAAUCUUCCGCAAUGGGCGAGAGCCUGACGGAGCAACGCCGCGGGAGUGAUGAAGGUCUUCGGAUCGGAAAACUCUGUUAUUAGGGAAGAACAUAUGUGUAAUUAACUGUGCACAUCUUGACGGUACCUAAUCAGAAAGCCACGGCUAACUACGUG